Molecule: long non-coding RNA, 3249 nt
Organism: Columba livia (rock pigeon)
Lineage: Eukaryota; Metazoa; Chordata; Aves; Columbiformes; Columbidae
Exons: 3
Source: RefSeq, a predicted model, not a curated record
UUUUGGGUUGAAUUCAGCGGUUUUGGGGGGGGGUGGUGACGUCAUUGGGACGUCAUGGAGCGUUUUGGGGUGGAAAUGAAGGAUUUUGGGGCUUUGGGCGGGAAUUAAGGGGGAAAUUUAAGGAUUUUGGCGCUUCGGGGACAAUUUUAAGUUUAAAUUAAAGGAUUUUGGGGCUGAAAUUAAAGGAUUUUGGGGUGAAAUUAAAGGAUUUUGGGGUUCGGGACAUUUUUGGGCUCAUUUAAAGUGUUUUUUGGGGUGAAAUUGAAGCAUUUUGGGGGUGAAGCUCCAGAUUUGGGGCUUAAUGAGGUUUUUGGGGUUAAUUAAAGUGCUUUGAGUCCAUUAAUUACAGACGCCGAGUUAAUUACGGCUUUGGGGUUAAUUACGGGUUUUUGGGGCUAAUUACGGGGUUUUUGGGGUUAAUUACAUGUUUUUUGGGCGUUAAUUAUGUGCGUUUGGGUGUUAAUUACAUGGUUUGGGUGUUAAUUAGGGGGUUGGGUGUUAAUUAGGGGGUUUGGGGUUAAUUAGGGGGAUUUUGGGGCCUCAAAAGGCCCUUCUGGCCCCUCCCCCCCCCAGACCCGCAGCCGCUUUGGGGCAAAACCCGCCCGGAUCAGGCAAAGCCAAAAACUGCCGAUUUUGGGGCAUUUUGGGGCGAUUUGGGGCAAUUUGGGGUCAUUUUCUGCCGAUUCCGUGACCGUUUCACAUCCCCGCCGCAGCUUUUGGGCCAAAAUGGGCCGUUUUCGCCGCUUUUGCCGCUGUUUCCGCCGCCGCCGCCGCCCGCCCGGCCCCUCCCCCCGCCAAGGCCAAACGCCGCCCGGCGCCGCCGCCGCUGACGUCACCGAUGACGUCACCGAUGACAUCACCGAUGAGGUCAUCGCCGCUCGGCGCCACCGUCAUCAUCUGGCCCCCCCCGGCCAUCGUCACGCUGGGGGCGCCGCGCGUGGCCCUCGUGGGCCAAAAACCCCCGGUUUAGCCCCAAAAAUCACCCCCCCCCCCACCUUUCCCGCCAAAAAAUAAGGUGCUUUCUGACCCAAAAUUGGGCUUUUUCGACCCAAAAUUGCGCUUUUUAGGCCCAAAAUUGCGCUUUUUAGACCCAAAGUUGCGCUUUUUCGACCCAAAAUUGCUCUUUUUAGACCCAAAAUUGGGCUUUUUCGACCCAAAAUUGGGAUUUUUCGACCCAAAAUUGCGCUUUUUAGGCCCAAAAUUGCUCUUUUUAGACCCAAAAUCGUGCUUUUUAGACCCAAAAUUGCGCUUUUUAGACCCAAAGUUGCUCUUUUUAGACCCAAAAUUGCGCUUUUUAGACCCAAAGUUGCGCUUUUUCAACCCAAAAUUGCGCUUUUUAGAGCCAUAGUCGCACUUUAUAGACCCAAGAACACACUUUUUAGACCCAAAAUCACAGUUUUAGACCCAAAAUUGCUCUUUUUUGACCCAAAAUCGCACUUUUUUGACCCAAAAUCACAGUUUUUAGACCCAAAAUUGCUCUUUUUAGGCCCAAAAUCACAGUUUUUAGACCCAAAAUCGCACUUAUUCAACCCAAAUUUCACUUUUUCGACCUAAAAUUACUCUUUUUUGACCCAAAAUCACAUUUUUUAGAUCCAAAAUUACUCUUUUUCGACCCAAAAUCGCACUUUUUAGAGCCAAAAUUACUCUUUUUUGACCCAAAAUCACAGGUUUUAGACCCAAAAUUGCACUUUUUCGACCCAAAGUUGCACUUUUUCAACCCAAAUUUCACUUUUUAGACCCAAAAUUGUGCUUUUUCAACCCAAAAUCACACUUUUUAGACCCAAAAUUGAGCUUUUUAGAGCCAUAGUCGCACUUUUUAGACCCAAAAUCGCCCUUUUUAGACCCAAAAUUCUACUUUUAUUGACCCAAAAUCACGCUUUUUGGACCCAAAAUAACCCUUUUUAGACCUAAAAUUGCGAUUUUUGGACCCAAAAUCACACUUUUCGGACCCAAAUUUGCACUUUUAAACCCAAAAUUGUGCUUUUUAGCCCCAAAAUUACUCUUUUUAGACCCAAAAUUGCUCUUUUUAGACCCAAAAUCGCACUUUUUAGACCUAAAAUUGCUCUUUUUAGACCCAAAAUCGUGCUUUUUAGACCCAAAAUUGCGCUUUUUCGACCCAAAAUUACUCUUUUUUGACCCAAAAUCACAUUUUUUAGGCCCAAAAUUGCUCUUCUUAGACCCAAAAUCACAUUUUUUAGACCCAAAAUUACUCUUUUUAGACCCAAAAUUGAGCUUUUUAGAGGCAUAGUUGCGCUUUUUAGACCCAAAAUCCCACUUUUUAGACCCAAAAUCGCACUUUUUGGACCCAAAAUCGCACUUUUUAGACCCAAAAUUACUCUCUUUCGACCCAAAAUCGUGCUUUUUCAACCCAAAAUAACCCCUUUUAGACCUGAAAUUGUUGGUUUUAGACCCAAAAUUGCACCUUUUAGACCCAAAAUUGCGCUUUUUUGACCCAAAAUUGCCCUUUUUCAACCAAAAUCGUGCUUUUUAGACCCAAAAAUCUCACUUUUAGACCCAAAAUCGCGCUUUUUAGACCCAAAAUUGCGCUUUUUAGACACAAAUUCGCACUUUUGGACCUAAAAUCGCGCUUUUUAGACCCAAAAUUGCACCUUUUAGACCCAAAAUUGCGCUUUUUACACCCAAAAACCGCACUUUUUAGACCCAAAAUCGCACUUUUUAGACCCAAAAUCACACUUUUUAGACACAAAUUCGCACUUUUGGACCCAAAAUUGCUCUUUUUAGACCCAAAAUUGUGCUUUUUAGACCCAAAAUCUCACUUUUUAGACCCAAAAUCACACUUUUUAGACCCAAAAUCGCACUUUUGGACCCAAAAUCGCGUUUUUUAGACCCAAAAUCGCUCUUUUUAGCCCCAAAAUCGCGCCGCCCACCCCCCCCCCACGACUUUGCCUUUUGACCCAAAUCCGCCGUUUUUUUGCCCCAAAACCACGUGGGCGAAAUGUCGCAAUUUGGCUUUGACCCAAAUCUGGGCGUUUUUGGUUAAAAAUGCACAUUUUUUGACCCUAAAACUUGGCGUUUUCACCCCAAAAUGAGGUUGACCCAAAAUCGGGGUUUUUAGCCCCAAAAUUGUUACCAAAAAAACGGCGUUUGGCUCAAAAUUCAAGUUUUUUGGCCCCAAAAAUGGGGGUUGGACCCAAAAUCCGCCGGUUUGGCCCCAAAAUGGAGACGUGGACGCGAAAUUGUCGCAAUUUGCCUUAAAAUGGAUUAAAAUGGGUGAAAACGGAUCGAAAA